Molecule: long non-coding RNA, 1283 nt
Organism: Triticum aestivum (bread wheat)
Lineage: Eukaryota; Viridiplantae; Streptophyta; Magnoliopsida; Poales; Poaceae
Exons: 2
Source: RefSeq, a predicted model, not a curated record
AUAGGGACAUAUUCAGCUGAGGUUCACGUAUAUACAAACCUGAAACUGUAUGCUUUUACACCAGGUUCACGUAUAUAGGGACAUAUUCAGCUGAGGUUCACGUAUAUACAAACCUGAAACUGUAUGCUUCAAACCGGAUGUGGCAGUAAUCCACUCAUCAUGCAAAACAAAACAAAAAUCUGUUACCUAGCAUGUAUUUGUUUGUACAGAUGAUGCCAUGUACUACAUUUUGUUUGCAUAAUCCAUCACCUAGCAUGUAUUUGUUAUAACCGAGCACCGCAACGAAUCUGUUAUUUACCUUAGGAGGGUAAGAAAAAACACAAUCAAUGAUAUUAUACAUAAUUCUAGACAUUGUUUUAGAGUAUGUUCUGAAGUAUAUUUUUCUUCCAGUAAAUGUUGGAAAUGUCUAUGUACUUUUUUCUCCCAAUAUGUUAUGGUCAUCUUCCUGCUAUGCAUAUGAAUUUCAUGGCCAACUUAGCAGCUGGUGGUUGGUGAUCCUUUCUACUUCCUCGCCGGCUCGAUAAAUCUCCCGAUUCAAGAUUUAUUUCUGUACUGGAUAGCAGUGAUUAGUGGAUUACUGUCACACGCUGCUGUUGUCAUCCAUGUCUCCUCAGGUGCCUUAGGUUUGUGAUGCGAAAGUUGUUCUACAUAUGUAAAUUGUUCUGUUCUUCUUUCGCCAAUACAUUAAUAAGCCCGCGAUACACUUUGCUUCUUUUUUAUCUAAUGUCUAUUUGUAGACUAAGUGUUUAUUUAUGAUAGUGGAUUUCUGGCGUACAUGUGAAUAUCUCAUGUAUAUACAAUCAGUACACUCACCUGAACGAGAAUGGUGGCAAGCAGAGCGGGGUUGCGUCUUGUCCUUCUAGCGUCGAAGGUCCGGUGCACCCAUGGGUGUGCCUUUGCUGGUUUCUGACUGUCACAAAGAAGUCAGAGCUGUGGGCGGCGAGGCCACUGCGGCAACGAUGACUAUGAGAACAAUUUUCAGCAAGCGGUGCUCCCCGAAUGUUGCGUUGAUCUACGUCAUUGCGUGGCUUGCAACCUUCUCCUAUGAAGCCCGUAUGCAAAAUCGAAACUGUCAUGUCCUCGAUGUUGUGCUCGACUAUUCAUUGUUGCUUUGUGGCUCCGUGCAUCCUCUCCACAGUUAUAUCGUUUUUUGUGAUGUAAUCUUAUUAGUGGUUGGGUCAUCCAUGCGAGCCCCUUCUGAAGUUUGUAGUCUAGGUUAGAUACAUCCGUAUGUAGACAAAUUGAAGACAAAUAAUAUGGAAAGGAGGGAGUAUAUUAUUUGA